GAAGAAGAAAAAUCAUGUUUCCAGCUUGGGCUGCUGUUUCAUCUGUUGGACUUGCUUAAAACGUAUGGGUUUGUUUACCCUUCCUGCAGGCAUCCAACCUGGCCUUUUAUUCCUGCUCAAGUAGGACAUGCAGCCUGCUGGGGACCCGUGGCUCAAAUCCUCCAACUGCAGGACUGCUGGCCCUGGGACUCAUGAAUAAUGGAAGUGCAGUAACCACUCCUUACAGCCCAGACGACUUUCCAGGAGCAGGCUGUACCCCGAAAGUAAACAAGGAACAAGGGGCAAGGAGACAGAGAGAGAUGGGGAAAUAUCCUCACCAACAGCCCUGCUGCAGUGAAAACUGGAGGCCACUUCUCCCGCUGAGGGCAGUGAGGAGCCUGCCAGCCCUGCUGCUUUGGAAAGCCCAGAGGACCAAGAAACUGAGGCUUCAGGGGAAAGGUGGGGAGAGGAGAGGCAAGCAGCAGCGAACUGCUGGAACGCCUGCAAAUGGGCUGCUCCGAAGGCUCUGGGGCCUUGGUUCUGCUCUGCACAGAGCUGGCUGUCCUGGCUGACAUCUGUUGUGACCUCUUCCAAAGUGACUUCGCCCCAUCUCUCUCAGAACGAGCCUGGACAGUGGGUGUGAAUAAGCCCAGUAAUCCUCGAUGAGGAAGCCCCGUGUCCACGUGGGUAGCUCAGUGGGGAGGGGGAAGAACGCAGCUCAAACUUCAGGUAAGAUGGGCCUGGCUCUGCCACUUAGCUGUGUGACCUGAGAUGAGUGUUUCAGCCUCUCUGAGCCUCUGUUUCUUAAUCUACAAAAAUGGCACCAUGAUAUCCACCUAUUGGGUUGUUAUAAAGUUUAAGUAGGAAAAUACACAUGAAGAGCUUUCACUAGCACCUGGGCCUGACUAAUACUUAGUAUUAGAGUUGCUG
This is a long non-coding RNA of Pan paniscus (pygmy chimpanzee), 909 nucleotides long. The record is from Ensembl. Lineage: Eukaryota; Metazoa; Chordata; Mammalia; Primates; Hominidae.